RNAcentral lists this long non-coding RNA (2859 nucleotides) under Homo sapiens (human). RNAcentral describes it as "long non-coding RNA NONHSAT176052.1". Lineage: Eukaryota; Metazoa; Chordata; Mammalia; Primates; Hominidae. The record is from RNAcentral.
AAGAUAUUUAACUUCUGUGCUUUAUUCCUCCAGAGACUGAUUAAGAUCUUUGAAUGGAAAAUCCACAGAAACAGAUUUUAGUUCAAUGUGUAUCAUUAGUAUAUUAACAUAAUUUCAUUUGCCAUUUUUGGAGUUGUGGCUUUAAACCAGAGAACAACAUAGAUGUAUUUAACUCUAUUAUUUCAUCUGGCCAUCGCUGUAAACCUUCAGGUACGUAUUAUUAUUCUCAUCUUACAGAUGAAGAAACUGAUGUUCAAAGAGUUUCAAGGUCACUUACUGAGCUGAUAAGAGCUCCUGCGUCUUACUACACAAUUAUUAAACUGUUGUACUGUACUCAGUUACUUCAAAUUAAAAUUAGAAUUAGUCAUUUCAAAUUGUAAUUAGGAAUGUUUAAACUUGACUCAAUACAAGCUUUUCAAAAAAAAAGAAAAACACUUGGCAGGCUAAACCACAUUUUCCUGCUGAUAACUAUUUGACCUUCUCUUGGACCCUGGUCCACAUGCAUUUUGAAUGUUUGAUUUGGGGGUUCAAGCCACCUUCCCUGAAAGUCACACUGAAGCUCUUAUUUUAGAAGUGGGAGGUUAUCAUCCACUCAGCCUCCUUAAUGGCUUUUACGUUACAAAAAGCAUGUUUAUAAUUUCAAUGGAAAAAGCAUAUAUAUAAUUUACCGGUGAAAAAAUGCUUUGAGAUGCUGAUUUGGGAUGCUGUCUCACGGCAGAUAGUCGUUACCUGUAUACUACUAACUCAGUUGGAAGAGGAGUAAGCAAAUUGGGGUCUGGAUUACGUGAUACUCUCAGAUGUGCCAGGUGGUGCCAGUGCCAGCUAAUCACCUCCCUGUUGGCAGCACCGUGAACACUGUGCACCUGUCUUCAGAUGGCACUUAAAGCAGAGAAGCCUGCUGUGUGGCUGUGGGAGUCAUCAGAGAGGUGGCAGUGGAGGUUUGUUAUCGACCCAAUCAUUACAUCGCUACCCAAGAGUUGGAAACUUCCUGUGUUGCCCACGCUGGUCUCAAACUCCUGGACUCAUGGGAUCCUCCCACCUUGGCCUCCCAAAGCAGUGGUAUUACAGGCAUGAGCCAUUGCACUGGGCUCCUGUUUAGUUUUAAUUUUAAAACACCUCAAGAGUCAGAUAAUUCAGGGAAAGACCAUGCAAGGCUGUUACUGAAGAAAGUGCUACGAGUCUGUUCUAGACAUGGCUUGCCUAGCACUGAGCAUCCUUCCUCACUUCUAAGUGAGAAUUUUCCAGAUCUGUGCAUUGGGGUCCCCCAAGAAAGAGGCUCAGUCCUGAUGUACUGUUUCCUGUAUACUGCAUGCUCACCCCCCAAAACCACAUGGUUAAUCCAGAUCCAGCCCCUGCUUUCUUAGUUAUGAGGCUUCUCAUGGCAAAGCAAUAAAAAGCAAGUUUUCAAUGAUAAAGUCAUGUCUGAAAACAUGUUAAUUGUCAUCAUCUUUGAUGUUGUAACCUGAGCUAUAGAUUGUUGGGAUGCACACGUUACUCUUUUAAGCUUAUGUGCCUUGAUUCUGUCUACAUCAUUUCUUUCUUUCUGAACUGUGAACUGCGCUAAUUUGAUGGGGUUUGCUACCUGAUUGGGGUCCUGACCUUAGCCUUCAUCUUGCCAUAUACAGUUUGUUUUUGUCUCCAUCAGCGUUAGCUCUGUUCAACGCCCUUGUGGAGUCCAGGACUUAGAGAGAGGAUCUCCAAGCAGAAGCCCCCAGCCCACGUGAGAACAGGGAGACCCUUGUGCCCUUAACUGUUUUCCAUAGUACUGCCCAGCCUUGUACACUCUGGCCCAAAUGUUCCUCACCUUUGGAAGACACAGAACUUCUUUCAAAACCAUUGAAAUAUCGAGAUCAUUUCCGCAGAAAGAAAAUGUAAUUUAAGAGGAUCCAGAUGCUCAGUGUCAUCUUCGAAGAUGCCAGGUCACAUUGGCAAAGGCCGCAAGAACUGAUAUGAAAAACCAGAUGCAAUGAAAACCGUAACUGUACAUGAGACAGAACUGCCCAAGGUCAAGCUGGGGCAUUCUGUGUGAAGAGGAAGAUGCCUUGGCAGAAGAUCACUUCAUCAUGACCAGGGCAUCAGAAGAAGGGGUCGCAGAAUUUAUUCAUGAUUCAAUAAGUAUGCACCACCUGUCUGGAAGUGAGUUAGCAUAAAACAUAAGUUCAGUAAGAAUACAAGAAUGAGUGAGUGAAUUAAGAAAUGAAUGGAUUGGGAGUUACCAUUGGCCACACACCGCUUAGACAGUAGAAUAUCUCAGCCAGGUAGAAAGAAUGGAUCAUGGUGGCCCAGCAAAGCAUGUACUUCCUGGGGCAGAUUGUGGCAUCAUUAUCUCCAACAUCUCUGACAAUUUCUGUUUCAAGUUAAGGGCUGGUCAGCUUCUAUUCUUAGAAACACUUUCUUUACACAUGUCAGUAAAUCAAAUCUUGUCUUUAGAGACAAUCCAUCUUGUUAAACUAACUUUGUUUGGGUCUACCCUGACCCUGUUUGUGCCACCCCUGCCCCCAUACAUAUAAUCAGUUUUGUCUGUAGUUAUAAUUUGUCCAUAAUUUGGAAAAGAGAAGCCUAAAAAAGUUCACUCUAGACACUUUCAGCUAGGAACAAACUUAUAUGUGAAAAUAAUUAAAAUGUGGGGAGUGAAGGUUUAUAGUGGAACUAUUUACAGACCCUCAAACACUGCACAACAGUUGAAACUUUGCUGUAGUGACUUCAUUCUCUUAGUUGUCAAUCUGUUUUUCUUCUACAUUUCUUCCACAUACUUCUGGUAUAUUUUUAAUAAAGAUUUUUCAAAAAGAUAAAUAUGGCUUAUAUUUUCCCAGCUCAAAAUUCCCCUGAAGGCCUCCGAAGCAGUAAAUAGUAGUGCUU